ACGGGUGAGUAACACGUGGGCAACCUACCUUUAAGACUGGGAUAACUUCGGGAAACCGGAGCUAAUACCGGAUAACAUAUAAGACCACAUGGUCUUAUAUUAAAAGAUGGCUUCGGCUAUCACUUAUAGAUGGGCCCGCGGCGCAUUAGCUAGUUGGUGAGGUAAUGGCUCACCAAGGCGACGAUGCGUAGCCGACCUGAGAGGGUGAUCGGCCACACUGGGACUGAGACACGGCCCAGACUCCUACGGGAGGCAGCAGUAGGGAAUCUUCCGCAAUGGACGAAAGUCUGACGGAGCAACGCCGCGUGAACGAUGAAGGCUUUCGGGUCGUAAAGUUCUGUUGUUAGGGAAGAACAAGUACCAGAGUAACUGCUGGUACCUUGACGGUACCUAACCAGAAAGCCACGGCUAACUACGUGCCAGCAGCCGCGGUAAUACGUAGGUGGCAAGCGUUAUCCGGAAUUAUUGGGCGUAAAGCGCUCGCAGGCGGUCUUUUAAGUCUGAUGUGAAAGCCCACGGCUCAACCGUGGAGGGUCAUUGGAAACUGGGAGACUUGAGUGCAGAAGAGGAGAGUGGAAUUCCACGUGUAGCGGUGAAAUGCGUAGAGAUGUGGAGGAACACCAGGGGCGAAGGCGACUCUCUGGUCUGUAACUGAACGCUUAAGAAGCGAAAGCGUGGGGAGCGAACAGGAUUAAGAUCCCCGGGUAGUCCACGCCGUAAA
This 721-nucleotide ribosomal RNA is filed under the name Bacillus sp. (in: firmicutes). Its description in RNAcentral is "bacterial SSU rRNA". It matches the Rfam family "Bacterial small subunit ribosomal RNA", at positions 102 to 806 of the family's 1533-position model. The record is from RNAcentral. Lineage: Bacteria; Bacillati; Bacillota; Bacilli; Caryophanales; Bacillaceae.